UGGUCUGAGAGGAUGGCCAGCCACAUUGGGACUGAGAAACGGCCCAGACUCCUACGGGAGGCAGCAGUGGGGAAUCUUGCGCAAUGGCCUAACGGCUGACGCAGCGACGCCGCGUGAGGGAUGACGCUCUUCGGAGUGUAAACCUCUUUUGCCUGGAACGAACUAUCAGCAUUCGCUGAUUUGACGGUACCGGGUGAAUAAGCACCGGCUAACUCCGUGCCAGCAGCCGCGGUAAUACGGGGGGUGCGAGCGUUGUCCGGAAUCACUGGGCGUAAAGGGCGCGUAGGUGGCAUGAUAAGGGUGUGGUGAAAGCCCGGGGCUCAACCCCGGGUCGGCCAUGCCGACUGUCACGCUAGAGUACUGUAGGGGCAGGCGGAAUUCCGGGUGUAGCGGUGGAAUGCGUAGAGAUCCGGAGGAGGACCGGUGGCGAAGGCGGCCUGCUGGGCAGUUACUGACACUGAUGCGCGACAGCGUGGGGAGCAAACAGGAUUAGAUACCCUGGUAGUCCACGCCGUAAACGAUGGGUACUAGGUGCCUGGGGGAGCGACCCCUUGGGUGCCGGCGCUAACGCAGGAAGCACCCCGCCUGGGGAGUACGGCCGCAAGGCUGAAACUCAAAGGAAUUGACGG
This 629-nucleotide ribosomal RNA is filed under the name uncultured bacterium. RNAcentral describes it as "bacterial SSU rRNA". It matches the Rfam family "Bacterial small subunit ribosomal RNA", at positions 288 to 916 of the family's 1533-position model. The record is from RNAcentral.